RNAcentral lists this ribosomal RNA (549 nucleotides) under uncultured Glomus. RNAcentral describes it as "SSU rRNA". It matches the Rfam family "Eukaryotic small subunit ribosomal RNA", at positions 548 to 1098 of the family's 1831-position model. Lineage: Eukaryota; Fungi; Glomeromycota; Glomeromycetes; Glomerales; Glomeraceae. The record is from RNAcentral.
UUGGAGGGCAAGUCUGGUGCCAGCAGCCGCGGUAAUUCCAGCUCCAAUAGCGUAUAUUAAAGUUGUUGCAGUUAAAAAGCUCGUAGUUGAAUUUCGGGAUGAUCAGGUUGGUCGUGCCAUUGGUAUGUACUAGCUUUGGUGGUUCCUACCUCUUGAAGAACCGUAAUGUCAUUAACUUGGUGUUGCGGGGAAUCAGGACUGUUACUUUGAAAAAAUUAGAGUGUUUAAAGCAGGCAAACGCUUGAAUACAUUAGCAUGGAAUAAUGAAGUAGGACGUUUGAUCUUAUUUUGUUGGUUUCUAGGAUCGACGUAAUGAUUAAUAGGGGUAGUUGGGGGCAUUAGUAUUCAAUUGUCAGAGGUGAAAUUCUUGGAUUUAUUGAAGACUAACUACUGCGAAAGCAUUUGCCAAGGAUGUUUUCAUUAAUCAAGAACGAAAGUUAGGGGAUCGAAGACGAUCAGAUACCGUCGUAGUCUUAACCAUAAACUAUGCCGACUAGGGAUCGGAUGAUGUUAAUUUUUUAAUGACUCAUUCGGCGCCUUACGGGAAAC